RNAcentral lists this transfer RNA (63 nucleotides) under Lamproblatta albipalpus. Its description in RNAcentral is "tRNA-Gly". Lineage: Eukaryota; Metazoa; Arthropoda; Insecta; Blattodea; Lamproblattidae. RNAcentral also lists the same sequence under 1 other name. The record is from RNAcentral.
AUUUAUCUAAUAUAAUAAGUAUAUUUAACUUCCAAUUAAAUAGUUUGCUAAGCAAGAUAAAUA